AUUGAACGCUGGCGGCAUUGCCUUACACAUGCAAGUCGAACGGCAGCGACGGGAGCAAUCCUGGUGGCGAGUGGCGAACGGGUGAGUAAUAUAUCGGAACGUGCCCGGUCGUGGGGAUAACGUAGCGAAAGCUACGCUAAUACCGCAUACGAUCUACGGAUGAAAGCGGGGGAUCGCAAGACCUCGCGCGAUUGGAGCGGCCGAUAUCAGAUUAGGUAGUUGGUGAGGUAAAGGCUCACCAAGCCGACGAUCUGUAGCUGGUCUGAGAGGACGACCAGCCACACUGGGACUGAGACACGGCCCAGACUCCUACGGGAGGCAGCAGUGGGAA
RNAcentral lists this ribosomal RNA (331 nucleotides) under uncultured bacterium. Its description in RNAcentral is "bacterial SSU rRNA". It matches the Rfam family "Bacterial small subunit ribosomal RNA", at positions 30 to 360 of the family's 1533-position model. The record is from RNAcentral.